UGGUAGCCCGAAAACUCCGAUCAUAAUUCACUGACCAAAUAAAAUCCAAUACAUUGUUUUGAUGAUCUAAACGCUUUCACGAUGUACUUCCUGCGUAGUACAGUCAACUACCUCCUCGGAAUCAAAGAUGAAGAAGAUGAUUUCCCGACAAGUUCCAAUUCAAACAAUCAACAGACUGAGCAAAAAGAUGUGAAAAUCAUCGAAAAGAACACCGAUGAUGGUGUCCUUGUGACAGCUGUAACUACAAAACGCAAGAGAAAAAAUUGGAAUAGCGCAAGUGGCAAGCAUAAGGCUCAUAAAGCAGCAGCCAUGAGCCAACCUGCACCGAAGUUAACUACUAGCUCAAAUCUAACGCUCCUGAAUGCAGUAACAGAGUCACAAAGGUCGGAAAAACUAAAGAAGGGCCGAGAAAGAUCCAAGAGAAGCCUCCAGAGACAGAACAAACUCCACAAAGCGCAACAAGAAAAGACCAUUCGGCAAAAUUUCAAGGCUGUGCAGUGAGUCUAUCGAUAUGUGAUGUGAUGCAAUGACCUGAAAUGAUUCUCAUGAAAGAGGAAGAAUAUCUACUUUGUUUUAAUAGAACUUGGUAAUACACUAUUAGGAUCAUUAGAUUUUGGCACUUUCACUGACCACA
Molecule: long non-coding RNA, 634 nt
Organism: Bolinopsis microptera
Lineage: Eukaryota; Metazoa; Ctenophora; Tentaculata; Lobata; Bolinopsidae
Exons: 3
Source: RefSeq, a predicted model, not a curated record